This is a long non-coding RNA of Drosophila navojoa, 1968 nucleotides long. Lineage: Eukaryota; Metazoa; Arthropoda; Insecta; Diptera; Drosophilidae. The record is from RefSeq and is a predicted model, not a curated record.
GCAGGCAGGCAGCAGUUGAAGUGGUUCGAUCGUCUGCAAGUGGAGCCCAUCAGUCAGCCACCAGCACAACGGCAACAUUACAGAUACCAACAAUGGCGCACACAAAAGCAACAACAGCAACAGCAACAGCAACUGCAGCAACAUGGUAAAGUUAAAAUCAACAUACAUUGUUGCUGAACAUUUCCUUUUGUGCCAGAGAGCCCAGCCCAGUGCUCAGGGAGAGCAAAAGCCGGAAAGUGAAACGAGCUACGUCUGAAGUGAAAGAAAAAUAGCAACAGGCAACAAACAACCAACAACAGAACAACAAUGGCAACAAUAAUGCGCUUGAGGCGACCCUCUCUCAUCGAAAUGGAUUACAUAUAAAUAUACUUAUUGUUCCAUUUGGCAGCUGAAUAAAUAUUUCGGUCAGAAUUUGUGCCAAUUGAUAAUGGAUACGUGAUAAUGGAUAAUCGUCAUACUGUUAGCAAUGAGACAAAAGACAAACAAGCCCAACUGACUGAGUGACAUAUUUUCAGCACUUUGAUUACCUUCAAUUUACAUAUAUCAUUUUCUUUAUGCAAUUACAACAGAAUUGUUUGCCCCUACACACGCUCGAUCACGCAAGGUGCAGUCUUGAAUCAAAUAUUAUGAUCUCAGACUUAACCCGCAUAAGCUUAAUAAAAGCUGCAGCUAAGCAGCGUAAGGCACUCGUAAUUUUAUCAAUAAAAUUCAACGACAGUCUAAAGUACCCACUGAGCAGCAUGAAUAUUUUAUGGCAAUGUGUGAAGCCGCACAUUAUUAAUUAAAAUUUGCUCCAUCAACAACAACAACAACGAGAACAACACGUAGAGCAACAGCGUGCGCGGAAUUACGGCAAACGAGGCGGCAGUAAAAACUUCCAAUUACUCAAGCGUGCCCUCAUCCUUCUUCGACAAACACACAGCACAGGGACAUCACAUAAACGUUCAUACAUACACAUGUGUGUGUGUAUGUGUGUGUGUAAGUGUGUUUGUAUUUGCAUUUAAUAUCCUUUUCUUUGAAUAAUUCAUGCAUACAGGGCUGACCAAACGACUGAACAGCAUCAACUGCACACAGCGGCGUUGCAGGGCACAGGCAAAAGGCUGAUGACCGAAGGGCUUCCAUUUCAUUGUUGUUGUUGUUGUUGUUGUUGUUGUUGUUGCUGUGGCUGCUGCUGUUGCUGGGCAUUUUUUACGCAUACCGAUGGCGAAACUUAUUAAUUGGCACUUGAGCUGUGGUUACCACAGCUCGACAGAAUCCACGUUUCUUUUUUAUUUUGUAUUUUUGCCCUGGGCUCAACCAAAGCGCGCCGUCAUUCAAAUUUUUGAGCAGGCAUAAUUUAACAACUUUUUCGUCCACGGGCUGCGCCCGUCUCGUUGGAUAUUGGAUGUUGAACAUCGCUGGUAAUCCACUCAAGUAACAGGCUAUAACCACCACAGCGGCAACAAUAACAGUGGCAAAAAUUUACACGAGACUGACAAUGACAGAGCAACAAGAUUGGCGGACAUGCAGCAAGGGCAAACAAGCAACAGCAACAAGGGAAUACCCUGCAAUAGCUAGGACACUACUACUCUAGAGGAGUACUUCACGAUGAGGAGUAAAGUGAAUUGAAGAGAUUUCCCUUAAUGGCAAUUAUAGCUCUGUGUCUCUGGGUCAAUUCUAUGCCAGUUAUGAAGAGAAUAAGUGAGUUGUUAACUGGAAAGCUUACUGCUGCUAAUGUUAGUGUGCGCAUUAUGCAUAAAUGCAUAUGUCGUUGACUGACUGACAUUUUGACGCACAGGAGACAGCCUCAUAUCCCCCAGUGACUGCGCUAUCGUCACGUUUUACCAUUUAAAUUAAAAUGUUUCGCUUAAGAGAAAGAGAGCUGCAAAAAUUGCUUACGCCCGGCGAGAGCACAACAAAAAUCUCAGCCACAUCCCCUUCAGAAAAAAAUAUAAAAAAAAUUAAAAAACAAAAGUAAGAAAAAAGCUA